CCACAAGUACAAUAUGAUAAGAGUAUUAGGCUGUAGAGAUUGUAUGGACAGAAAUCUGAUCAGAUAUUAACAUUGAAUCAUUCAAAUAUACUUCCAAUACACAAAACCUUCAAGAGUUACUGGUUUAUGAUCACAUAUUAUUGACCUAAAUGGAUUUCUUUACAUUACUCUUAACUAAAAUCUGAUUCUCACUGAACUAAAGAGAAUGUCUUAUUAUUCAAAUGUUAUUUUUUUUGUUUCAAUGAGAAGACAUCUGUAAAUGAGGAUACUAUAUUUAUAUUGCACAAAUUAAGCAGGUAAAAGUCAGAACUCCAUCAAUUAUAUCUGUUUCCCUGGUGAAUGUACUAUUGCCUUCAGUAUUUAUUUUUAUCUAUUGUUUAUCCUUCAAGGGGGAAAAAUUGUCUAUGGAAAUAAAAACUAACAUAAGUGUACCAGCUGUACAUUAAAUAUUGAUUAAUACACAAAUACACAUUUCCAACAAUGUUUUUAAAAAGGAAAUAGCAGCAAAUUUUAUCAUUUAAUUUUUUUGUAUAUUUUAUGAUCAAUUUCAUACAAAAUGUUAUGAUUUUCCAUUAUUAUUUUAUCAUAAUAAUCUGCAUCAUCUGCCCUAAACAUCACAAAGUCUGAAAGGGGUAUUUUGUUUUAAAAUUUUUUCCUAAUGUUUGUAAUCUUAAUAUAUAAUUGUUGAAACUUUUUUUGACAUUUUCACUUUCUUGAAAUCAAAAGUUGUCACUGCUGUAUAUAUAUAUAUAUAAAUAAAUAUAUAUAUCAAUAAUUAUAUAUUGUUUAACUGUUGAAUAAUAUCUUUUUUCCAUUUUAAGUCUGUCUUCUAUUAAUAAAUAAAUAUGAUAAAUC
This is a non-coding RNA of Biomphalaria pfeifferi, 855 nucleotides long. NCBI's taxonomy places the organism in Eukaryota, Metazoa, Mollusca, Gastropoda, Planorbidae. The record is from the annotation of a GenBank genome assembly.